RNAcentral lists this small nuclear RNA (23 nucleotides) under Arabidopsis thaliana (thale cress). RNAcentral describes it as "snRNA_14806". Lineage: Eukaryota; Viridiplantae; Streptophyta; Magnoliopsida; Brassicales; Brassicaceae. The record is from RNAcentral.
GGGCUCCCCAUUCGACCCGUCUU